Long non-coding RNA from Uranotaenia lowii, 298 nucleotides. RefSeq lists it as uncharacterized. The record is from RefSeq and is a predicted model, not a curated record. NCBI's taxonomy places the organism in Eukaryota, Metazoa, Arthropoda, Insecta, Diptera, Culicidae. The transcript has 2 exons.
CAAAUUGAUUCUUUUCAUUUUUGUUGCGCGCGUGUUCGCUGUUUCAAAAACAAACCAAAAUUUAUCCGAAGAGCUCGCUACGGUAAACGUUAAUAUAUGGCGAGGUUUUGGAAAAUGAGUCGCUACAAAAUCCAGCUGGAGGCAGAUCCGGAUGUCAGCUGGAAAGUGCCUAUAUUCGAAUUGCAGUAGUGGAGUGUAGGCUUGUGGUGGAAUUAAUUCCCUCAGAAACAUUCGUGAACGUGAAAAGUGUAACGUGAAUGAAAUGGAAGAUUCAUGAAUAAAUAAAUAUAAUUAAGAA